AGCAGCCGCGGUAAUUCCAGCUCCAAUAGCGUAUAUUAAAGUUGUUGCAGUUAAAAAGCUCGUAGUUGAAUUUCGGGAUCAAUAUAUCGGUCGUGCCUUGGUACGUACUGGUAUCAUUGGUUUCUCCUUUCUGACGAACCAUGAUGUCAUUAAUUUGGUGUUAUGGGAAGUUAGAACUGUUACUUUGAAAAAAUUAGAGUGUUUAAAGCAGGCUUUGGCUUGAAUACAUUAGCAUGGAAUAAUGAAAUAGGACGUUCGAACCUAUUUUGUUGGUUUCUAGGAUCAACGUAAUGAUUAAUAGGGAUAGUCGGGGGCAUUAGUAUUCAAUUGUCAGAGGUGAAAUUCUUGGAUUUAUUGAAGACUAACUACUGCGAAAGCAUUUGCCAAGGAUGUUUUCAUUAAUCAAGAACGAAAGUUAGGGGAUCGAAGACGAUCAGAUACCGUCGUAGUCUUAACCAUAAACUAUGCCGACUA
RNAcentral lists this unclassified non-coding RNA (474 nucleotides) under uncultured Glomus. RNAcentral's name for it is "SSU rRNA". It matches the Rfam family "Eukaryotic small subunit ribosomal RNA", at positions 569 to 1048 of the family's 1831-position model. Lineage: Eukaryota; Fungi; Glomeromycota; Glomeromycetes; Glomerales; Glomeraceae. The record is from RNAcentral.